This 253-nucleotide ribosomal RNA is filed under the name uncultured bacterium. Its description in RNAcentral is "partial 16S ribosomal RNA". It matches the Rfam family "Bacterial small subunit ribosomal RNA", at positions 524 to 776 of the family's 1533-position model. The record is from RNAcentral.
UACAGAGGUCCCGAGCGUUGUUCGGAUUCACUGGGCGUAAAGGGUGCGUAGGCGGUUUGGUAAGUCUUAUGUGAAAUCUACAGGCUCAACUUGUAGUCUGCAUGAGAAACUGCCGGGCUUGAGUGUGGGAGAGGUGAGUGGAAUUCCGGGUGUAGUGGUGAAAUGCGUAGAGAUCCGGAGGAACCCCAGAGGCGAAGGCGGCGCCCUGGCUCGCAACUGACGCUCAUACACGACAGCAUGGGGAGCGAACGGG